GACGAACGCUGGCGGCGUGCCUAAUACAUGCAAGUCGAACGCUUCUUUCCUCCCGAGUGCUUGCCCUCAAUUGGAAAGAGGAGUGGCGGACGGGUGAGUAACACGUGUGUAACCUACCCAUCAGAGGGGGAUAACACUUGGAAACAGGUGCUAAUACCGCAUAACAGUUUAUGCCGCAUGGCAUAAGAGUGAAAGGCGCUUUCGGGUGUCGCUGAUGGAUGGACCCGCGGUGCAUUAGCUAGUUGGUGAGGUAACGGCUCACCAAGGCCACGAUGCAUAGCCGACCUGAGAGGGUGAUCGGCCACACUGGGACUGAGACACGGCCCAGACUCCUACGGGAGGCAGCAGUAGGGAAUCUUCGGCAAUGGACGAAAGUCUGACCGAGCAACGCCGCGUGAGUGAAGAAGGUGUUCGGAUCGUAAAACUCUGUUGUUAGAGAAGAACAAGGACGUUAGUAACUGAACGUCCCCUGACGGUAUCUAACCAGAAAGCCACGGCUAACUACGUG
RNAcentral lists this ribosomal RNA (508 nucleotides) under uncultured bacterium. RNAcentral describes it as "partial 16S ribosomal RNA". It matches the Rfam family "Bacterial small subunit ribosomal RNA", at positions 28 to 507 of the family's 1533-position model. The record is from RNAcentral.